RNAcentral lists this ribosomal RNA (303 nucleotides) under uncultured bacterium. RNAcentral's name for it is "partial 16S ribosomal RNA". It matches the Rfam family "Bacterial small subunit ribosomal RNA", at positions 507 to 809 of the family's 1533-position model. The record is from RNAcentral.
AGCAGUCGCCGCGGUAAUACGGAGGGUGCAAGCGUUAUCCGGAUUCACUGGGUUUAAAGGGUGCGUAGGCGGGCAGGUAAGUCAGUGGUGAAAUCUUCGAGCUUAACUCGGAAACUGCCGUUGAUACUAUCUGUCUUGAAUAACGUUGAGGUGAGCGGAAUAUGUCAUGUAGCGGUGAAAUGCCUAGAUAUGACAUAGAACACCGAUUGCGAAGGCAGCUCACUAAACGCUCAUUGACGCUGAGGCACGAAAGCGUGGGGAUCAAACAGGAUUAGAUACCCGCGUAGUCCCUGUCUCUUAUAA